RNAcentral lists this ribosomal RNA (478 nucleotides) under uncultured organism. RNAcentral describes it as "partial 16S ribosomal RNA". It matches the Rfam family "Bacterial small subunit ribosomal RNA", at positions 329 to 798 of the family's 1533-position model. The record is from RNAcentral.
ACGUACACUCCUGCGGGAGGCAGCAGUGGGGAAUAUUGCACAAUGGGCGCAAGCCUGAUGCAGCCAUGCCGCGUGUAUGAAGAAGGCCUUCGGGUUGUAAAGUACUUUCAGCGGGGAGGAAGGCAAUACGGUUAAUAACCGUGUUGAUUGACGUUACCCGCAGAAGAAGCACCGGCUAACUCCGUGCCAGCAGCCGCGGUAAUACGGAGGGUGCAAGCGUUAAUCGGAAUUACUGGGCGUAAAGCGCACGCAGGCGGUCUGUCAAGUCGGAUGUGAAAUCCCCGGGCUCAACCUGGGAACUGCAUUCGAAACUGGCAGGCUUGAGUCUUGUAGAGGGGGGUAGAAUUCCAGGUGUAGCGGUGAAAUGCGUAGAGAUCUGGAGGAAUACCGGUGGCGAAGGCGGCCCCCUGGACAAAGACUGACGCUCAGGUGCGAAAGCGUGGGGAGCAAACAGGAUUAGAAACCCCGGUAGUCCCAU